AAAAAUAAAAUCAAAGUUGUCGAUAUUUCAUUUACAAUGAAACUUUGCUGUUAGCUAUUUUUA
Molecule: transfer RNA, 63 nt
Filed under: Cycetogamasus diviortus
Lineage: Eukaryota; Metazoa; Arthropoda; Arachnida; Mesostigmata; Parasitidae
Description: tRNA-Val
Source: RNAcentral